GAAAUGCGAUAAGUAGUGUGAAUUGCAGAAUUCAGUGAAUCAUCGAAUCUUUGAACGCACAUUGCGCCCUUUGGUAUUCCAAAGGGCAUGCCUGUUCGAGCGUCAUUUGUACCCUCAAGCUUUGCUUGGUGUUGGGCGUCUUGUCUCUAGCUUUGCUGGAGACUCGCCUUAAAGUAAUUGGCAGCCGGCCUACUGGUUUCGGAGCGCAGCACAAGUCGCACUCUCUAUCAGCAAAGGUCUAGCAUCCAUUAAGCCUUUUUUCAACUUUUGACCUAGGAUCAGGUAGGGAUACCCGCUGAACUUAAGC
Molecule: unclassified non-coding RNA, 307 nt
Filed under: plant metagenome
Description: partial contains 5.8S ribosomal RNA, internal transcribed spacer 2, and large subunit ribosomal RNA
Rfam family: 5.8S ribosomal RNA (bases 1-105)
Source: RNAcentral